UACGAAGGGAGCUAGCGUUGUUCGGAAUCACUGGGCGUAAAGCGCACGUAGGCGGAUUUGUCAGUCAGGGGUGAAAUCCCGGGGCUCAACCUCGGAACUGCCUUUGAUACAGCAAGUCUUGAGUUCGAGAGAGGUGGGUGGAAUUCCUAGUGUAGAGGUGAAAUUCGUAGAUAUUAGGAAGAACACCGGUGGCGAAGGCGGCCCACUGGCUCGAUACUGACGCUGAGGCACGAAGGCCAGGGGAGCAAACGGG
Molecule: ribosomal RNA, 253 nt
Filed under: uncultured bacterium
Lineage: Bacteria
Description: partial 16S ribosomal RNA
Rfam family: Bacterial small subunit ribosomal RNA
Source: RNAcentral